RNAcentral lists this non-coding RNA (27 nucleotides) under Mus musculus (house mouse). RNAcentral also lists the same sequence under 1 other name. The record is from RNAcentral. Lineage: Eukaryota; Metazoa; Chordata; Mammalia; Rodentia; Muridae.
UGCUGAGCCCUAGUAGAGAAUGUUCUA